GUUGUGUAUAUAUCUAUCUUUUGAUAUAUUCAUGAACAAACUUUAUGGCAACAGAAAAAUCACUUACAAAGGUUCAAGUUGCCUGAGCGUGUAGUCUGCAUUGGUGGCUUUUUGCGAAUUGAGUUGUUAGCUCGGGUUCAGGUACAAGCAGCAGUCGGCAAAUACAAUAUAUGUUUGGCUCACAGUUUGACUCACAAUUUGGCUCACGUGCAAGUGAUAGGGCGCAAAUAAUCACCUGCAUUUAG
Molecule: long non-coding RNA, 245 nt
Filed under: Helianthus annuus (common sunflower)
Lineage: Eukaryota; Viridiplantae; Streptophyta; Magnoliopsida; Asterales; Asteraceae
Description: sRNA HanXRQr2_Chr09g0395511
Source: RNAcentral